UAGGGAAUCUUCCGCAAUGGACGAAAGUCUGACGGAGCAACGCCGCGUGAGUGAAGAAGGAUUUCGGUUCGUAAAACUCUGUUGUUAGGGAAGAAAAAAUGUAUAGUAACUAUAUACAAAAGAGACGGUACCUAACCAGAAAGCCACGGCUAACUACGUGCCAGCAGCCGCGGUAAUACGUAGGAGGCAAGCGUUGUCCGGAAUUAUUGGGCGUAAAGCGCGCGCAGGUGGUUUAGAAAGUCUGAUGUGAAAGCCCACGGCUCAACCGUGGAGGGUCAUUGGAAACUAAUAAACUUGAGUGCAGGAGAGAAAAGUGGAAUUCCUAGUGUAGCGGUGAAAUGCGUAGAGAUUAGGAGGAACACCGGUGGCGAAAGCGGCUUUUUGGCCUGCAACUGACACUGAGGCGCGAAAGCGUGGGGAGCAAACAGG
RNAcentral lists this ribosomal RNA (429 nucleotides) under Verrucomicrobiota bacterium. RNAcentral's name for it is "Verrucomicrobia bacterium partial 16S ribosomal RNA". It matches the Rfam family "Bacterial small subunit ribosomal RNA", at positions 355 to 776 of the family's 1533-position model. The record is from RNAcentral. Lineage: Bacteria; Pseudomonadati; Verrucomicrobiota.